RNAcentral lists this ribosomal RNA (388 nucleotides) under uncultured bacterium. RNAcentral's name for it is "bacterial SSU rRNA". It matches the Rfam family "Bacterial small subunit ribosomal RNA", at positions 30 to 420 of the family's 1533-position model. The record is from RNAcentral.
AUUGAACGCUGGCGGCAUGCCUUACACAUGCAAGUCGAACGGCAGCGGACCUCCGGGUGCCGGCGAGUGGCGAACGGGUGAGUAAUAUAUCGGAACGUACCUUUCAGUGGGGGAUAACGUAGCGAAAGUUACGCUAAUACCGCAUAUUCUGUGAGCAGGAAAGCAGGGGAUCGCAAGACCUUGCGCUGAUUGAGCGGCCGAUAUCAGAUUAGCUAGUUGGUGAGGUAAAGGCUCACCAAGGCGACGAUCUGUAGCGGGUCUGAGAGGAUGAUCCGCCACACUGGAACUGAGACACGGUCCAGACUCCUACGGGAGGCAGCAGUGGGGAAUUUUGGACAAUGGGCGCAAGCCUGAUCCAGCCAUGCCGCGUGAGUGAAGAAGGCCUGGU